GACGAACGCUGGCGGCGUGCCUAAUACAUGCAAGUCGAACGAACAGCGACUUUAACUUGUUCCAGUCAAUGUUAGUGGCGCACGGGUGAGUAACACGUGGAGAACCUACCCUUAAGCGGGGACUACCAAUGGGAACGGAUACCAAAUACGCCAUGAAUCACAGACCACGUGGUCAACGGAAGAAAGGCGGCCUUGGCCGUCAACUUAAGGUUGGCCCGGUGGUGGAUUAGCUAGUUGGUGGGGUAAAGGCCUACCAUGGCAAUGAUGCAUAGCCGACCUGAGAGGGUGAUCGGCCACAUUGGGACUGAGACACGGCCCAAACUCCUACGGGAGGCAGCAGUAGGGAAUCUUCCGCAAUGGACGCAAGUCUGACGGAGCAACGCCGCGUGUGUGAAGAAGGUCUUCGGAUCGUAAAGCACUGUUGUUAGAGAAGAACGACCGGUAGAGUAACUGUUACCGGAGUGACGGUAUCUAACCAGAAAGCCACGGCUAACUACGUG
This 500-nucleotide ribosomal RNA is filed under the name uncultured bacterium. RNAcentral describes it as "partial 16S ribosomal RNA". It matches the Rfam family "Bacterial small subunit ribosomal RNA", at positions 28 to 507 of the family's 1533-position model. The record is from RNAcentral.